UGAAAGUUUCCUUCUAUUUUCAUCCAAGUACGCACAUGCGCAAAGUUAACUUUCGAAUACACAUCCUCUAUGGAAUUUUGUACAUCAGGAGUUUGUAAACAUUGACCGAUAAGACAACAAUUUGAAACAAAAAUGAAAUGUUGGCAUGCUUAAAAGUAAGACAAGAAGAAGUCCAACCGACGUAUAACCUCUGAAACAGCUGCCAUGUGCUUAAACGAAAGAAAUCCUCUAAAACCUGAAAACCAGAUGUCCCACUUCGUACACAAACUGUAUCAUGUAUGUUGACUCCUCCACAUGUGCUUACAUUUACCAAUCUCAUAUACCAAA
This 327-nucleotide long non-coding RNA is filed under the name Mytilus galloprovincialis (Mediterranean mussel). Lineage: Eukaryota; Metazoa; Mollusca; Bivalvia; Mytilida; Mytilidae. The record is from RNAcentral.